CUGGUAGACUGUCCAGGUUUCACAGGCAUACACCAGUGAGACUCCCCUGGAUCAUUCCACUCUCCAGGGGAUGGUAUUGCCCACUUUGGGAACCUCUAAUUGUGGACGUCCUUGGAAAGUAUACUGUCAAGGUGUCUGACAACAUCACACAAAACAUCAUGCCAAAAAGCAUGGGAACAAACUCACAGCUUUGCUUCACUCCACUAAUGCCUGGAAAAGUAUGAGAGCAUCAUCUAUUAUCUAGAGGCCAUGCAAGCCUGCCAUCAUGAAGCUAAUGCAAUAAUGCAAUACAAUACAAAUAAAAGAAUAAGAAAGACAGCAGUUUGGGGAAAUAGUGAGUCCUUCCCCAGUAAUCAUGGUCUUUGGGCUUACUUAACACUGCGCUACUGUUUGCUUGCUUCUGGAUGUUGGACUAAUCUGUUUCAAUUUUUCUAUUUUAUAACUGGUACAAAAGUAUUAUUUUAUUUUAUUAUUAUCCCAUCCCUUUCUCUGCCCUGGAAGUUUGCCACCUCAUAUGUGGAAGACAGGGCUGGAGCAGGAGGUGGAAGAUGCCGGGCCUGGCCCCAACUGCCGAGCAGAUGGAAGGCUCUGGGUACGAGCACACCUGCAUUCUGAGCUCUUCUCAUCCUACAAACUUGGGCCCAAGCAGUGAAAAAAGAUGGACAUUGGAUGACGCUCCCUCAUCUCUAGACCUGGCUGGUUGAUAGACUGAUUCUCGGCACCCACUGUUCUCCUUACUUCUGUGCUCAAUAUAGAGAUGAAUGAGCAGAAAAUUAUUCCCAAGCCCUGUCCUCACCAGCCUUCCUCUUGGGUCUUCUGGUGAUCUUGCUCAUGGGACAUCCUCUAGAAGCAUGACUGCUUUACCACCAUUUUAGCACAUUACUGACUUUGCCCAGUUCCUUCCUAACUCCUUCCAUCCUUGAAAGAGCUAAAGGAAACCUGAGGUAGAAUGUAGGCUGCUUGAAGGCGAGCCUUCUUUCCUCAAUCGGCACUUGUAGAGUGCGCUGGACACUCAUUCAGCAUCAUAUUCAGUAAUAUCAGUAUUAAAAAUAUAAUCAUAUUCUUACAUUUAGCAAGGCCCCUUGGAGUGGAGAAUUUCCUGCAUCCAAAUGACACCAAUCACCUUCUGGGUUAUUCUCCUCCCACUGCCCAUCACCUCUGCACUCACAGGCCAGUGAAUUGGUGAGAGAAUAUUGGUUUACACGGAGCACUGUUACAUGUGAAAGUCAAGGGAAACUCAAAGAUAGGGUUCUGAGCAUGAUCAACUUAUUAAGUUAGGGUAGCGGUGACUAGUAAAUGAGGUCAAUGGCCUCUCUCAGUGAAGGACCAAAGACUGGGCCGAAUUCUUUUAAUCAUUACUGUUGUGUGGUAUAGUUUGAGAUCUGGUACUGA
Molecule: long non-coding RNA, 1392 nt
Organism: Phascolarctos cinereus (koala)
Lineage: Eukaryota; Metazoa; Chordata; Mammalia; Diprotodontia; Phascolarctidae
Source: RefSeq, a predicted model, not a curated record